RNAcentral lists this small nuclear RNA (97 nucleotides) under Sus scrofa (pig). RNAcentral also lists the same sequence under 1 other name. Lineage: Eukaryota; Metazoa; Chordata; Mammalia; Artiodactyla; Suidae. The record is from RNAcentral.
GUGUUUACUUUGGCAGCACACAUACUAAAACUGGAAUGAUACAUUAAGACUCUUGUGCAAGAAUGACACGCAAAUCCAUGAAGUGUUCCAUAUUUCU